GAUGAACGCUGGCGGCGUGCCUAAUACAUGCAAGUCGAGCGAAUGGAUAAAGAGCUUGCUCUUAUGAAGUUAGCGGCGGACGGGUGAGUAACACGUGGGUAACCUGCCCAUAAGACUGGGAUAACUCCGGGAAACCGGGGCUAAUACCGGAUAACAUUUUGAACCGCAUGGUUCGAAAUUGAAAGGCGGCUUCGGCUGUCACUUAUGGAUGGACCCGCGUCGCAUUAGCUAGUUGGUGAGGUAACGGCUAACCAAGGCAACGAUGCGUAGCCGACCUGGUAGGGUGAGCGGCCACACUGGGACUGGGGCACGCCCCAGACUCCUACGGGAGGCAGCAGUAGGGAAUCUUCCGCAAUGGACGAAAGUCUGACGGAGCAACGCCGCGUGAGUGAUGAAGGCUUUCGGGUCGUAAAACUCUGUUGUUAGGGAAGAACAAGUGCUAGUUGAAUAAGCUGGCACCUUGACGGUACCUAACCAGAAAGCCACGGCUAACUACGUGCCAGCAGCCGCAGUAA
Molecule: ribosomal RNA, 515 nt
Filed under: uncultured bacterium
Lineage: Bacteria
Description: partial 16S ribosomal RNA
Rfam family: Bacterial small subunit ribosomal RNA
Source: RNAcentral